UACGGAGGGUGCAAGCGUUAUCCGGAUUUAUUGGGUUUAAAGGGUGCGUAGGCGGCUUUAUAAGUCUGGGGUUAAAGGCGGCAGCUUAACUGUACGCAUGCCUUGGAAACUGUGAGGCUUGAGUGACUUGGAGGUAGCUGGAAUUCCCUGUGUAGCGGUGAAAUGCAUAGAUACGGGGAGGAAUACCGAUUGCGAAGGCAUGUUACUACGAGUAAACUGACGCUGAUGCACGAAAGCGUGGGGAUCAAACAGG
Molecule: ribosomal RNA, 253 nt
Filed under: uncultured bacterium
Lineage: Bacteria
Description: partial 16S ribosomal RNA
Rfam family: Bacterial small subunit ribosomal RNA
Source: RNAcentral